This 2907-nucleotide ribosomal RNA is filed under the name Providencia rettgeri. RNAcentral describes it as "bacterial LSU rRNA". It matches the Rfam family "Bacterial large subunit ribosomal RNA". The record is from RNAcentral. Lineage: Bacteria; Pseudomonadati; Pseudomonadota; Gammaproteobacteria; Enterobacterales; Morganellaceae.
UUAAGCGACUAAGCGUACACGGUGGAUGCCUAGGCAAUCAGAGGCGAUGAAGGACGUGCUAAUCUGCGAUAAGCGUCGGUAAGGUGAUAUGAACCGUUAUACCCGACGAUUUCCGAAUGGGGAAACCCAGUGCAAUUCGUUGCACUAUCGUUUGAUGAAUACAUAGUCAAACGAAGCGAACCGGGGGAACUGAAACAUCUCAGUACCCCGAGGAAAAGAAAUCAACCGAGAUUCCCCUAGUAGCGGCGAGCGAACGGGGAGCAGCCCAGAGUCUUAAUCAGCAUUAGUAUCAGGAGAACGGUCUGGAAAGUCCGGCAGUAAAGGGUGAUAGCCCCGUAUCUGAAGAUAUUAGUGUUGUGAACUCGACGAGUAGGGCGGGACACGUGUUAUCCUGUCUGAAUAUGGGGGGACCAUCCUCCAAGGCUAAAUACUCCUGAUUGACCGAUAGUGAACCAGUACCGUGAGGGAAAGGCGAAAAGAACCCCGGCGAGGGGAGUGAAAUAGAACCUGAAACCGUGUACGUACAAGCAGUGGGAGCCUUGAUUUAUCAGGGUGACUGCGUACCUUUUGUAUAAUGGGUCAGCGACUUAUAUUCUGUAGCAAGGUUAACCGUAUAGGGGAGCCGUAGGGAAACCGAGUCUUAACUGGGCGAAUGAGUUGCAGGGUAUAGACCCGAAACCCGGUGAUCUAGCCAUGGGCAGGUUGAAGGUUGGGUAACACUAACUGGAGGACCGAACCGACUAAUGUUGAAAAAUUAGCGGAUGACUUGUGGCUGGGGGUGAAAGGCCAAUCAAACCGGGAGAUAGCUGGUUCUCCCCGAAAGCUAUUUAGGUAGCGCCUCGUGAACUCAUCUUCGGGGGUAGAGCACUGUUUCGACUAGGGGGUCAUCCCGACUUACCAACUCGAUGCAAACUACGAAUACCGAAGAAUGUUAUCACGGGAGACACACGGCGGGUGCUAACGUUCGUCGUGAAGAGGGAAACAACCCAGACCGCCAGCUAAGGUCCCAAAGUCAUAGUUAAGUGGGAAACGAAGUGGGAAGGCUCAGACAGCCAGGAUGUUGGCUUAGAAGCAGCCAUCAUUUAAAGAAAGCGUAAUAGCUCACUGGUCGAGUCGGCCUGCGCGGAAGAUGUAACGGGGCUAAACUAUGCACCGAAGCUGCGGCAGCGAUAUGUAAAUAUUGUUGGGUAGGGGAGCGUUCUGUAAGCCUGUGAAGGUGUACUGUGAGGUAUGCUGGAGGUAUCAGAAGUGCGAAUGCUGACAUAAGUAACGAUAAUGCGGGUGAAAAACCCGCACGCCGGAAGACCAAGGGUUCCUGUCCAACGUUAAUCGGGGCAGGGUGAGUCGACCCCUAAGGCGAGGCAGAAAUGCGUAGUCGAUGGGAAACGGGUUAAUAUUCCCGUACUGGUGAUAAUUGCGAUGGGGGGACGGAGAAGGCUAGGCUGGCCGGGCGACGGUUGUCCCGGUUUAAGGAUGUAGGCAGGUGAAUUAGGCAAAUCCGGUUCACUAUAUGCUGAGGUCUGAUGACGAGUCACUACGGUGGCGAAGUAGCUCAUGCCCCGCUUCCAGGAAAAGCCUCUAAGCUCUAGAUUAUCAUUAAUCGUACCCCAAACCGACACAGGUGGUCAGGUAGAGAAUACUCAGGCGCUUGAGAGAACUCGGGUGAAGGAACUAGGCAAAAUGGUGCCGUAACUUCGGGAGAAGGCACGCUGGCGCUAGGUGAAGUGGUUUACCCAUGGAGCUGAAGCCAGUCGCAGAUACCAGCUGGCUGCAACUGUUUAUUAAAAACACAGCACUGUGCAAACACGAAAGUGGACGUAUACGGUGUGACGCCUGCCCGGUGCUGGAAGGUUAAUUGAUGGGGUUAUCCGUAAGGAGAAGCUCUUGAUCGAAGCCCCAGUAAACGGCGGCCGUAACUAUAACGGUCCUAAGGUAGCGAAAUUCCUUGUCGGGUAAGUUCCGACCUGCACGAAUGGCGUAAUGAUGGCCAGGCUGUCUCCACCCGAGACUCAGUGAAAUUGAACUCGCUGUGAAGAUGCAGUGUACCCGCGGCAAGACGGAAAGACCCCGUGAACCUUUACUAUAGCUUGACACUGAACAUUGAGCCUUGAUGUGUAGGAUAGGUGGGAGGCUUUGAAGUGUGGACGCCAGUCUGCAUGGAGCCAACCUUGAAAUACCACCCUUUAAUGUUUGAUGUUCUAACGUUGCCCCGUUAUCCGGGGUGCGGACAGUGUCUGGUGGGUAGUUUGACUGGGGCGGUCUCCUCCCAAAGAGUAACGGAGGAGCACGAAGGUUGGCUAAGCAUGGUCGGACAUCAUGCGGUUAGUGCAAAGGCAUAAGCCAGCUUGACUGCGAGAGUGACGGCUCGAGCAGGUACGAAAGUAGGUCUUAGUGAUCCGGUGGUUCUGAAUGGAAGGGCCAUCGCUCAACGGAUAAAAGGUACUCCGGGGAUAACAGGCUGAUACCGCCCAAGAGUUCAUAUCGACGGCGGUGUUUGGCACCUCGAUGUCGGCUCAUCACAUCCUGGGGCUGAAGUAGGUCCCAAGGGUACGGCUGUUCGCCGUUUAAAGUGGUACGCGAGCUGGGUUUAGAACGUCGUGAGACAGUUCGGUCCCUAUCUGCCGUGGGCGUUGGAAGAUUGAAAGGGGCUGCUCCUAGUACGAGAGGACCGGAGUGGACGCACCACUGGUGUUCGGGUUGUCAUGCCAAUGGCAUUGCCCGGUAGCUAAGUGCGGAAGAGAUAACCGCUGAAAGCAUCUAAGCGGGAAACUUGCCUUGAGAUGAGUCUUCCCUGACCCUUUAAGGGUCCUAAAGGAACGUUUAAGACUAAGACGUUGAUAGGUUGGGUGUGUAAGCAUAGCGAUAUGUUGAGCUAACCAAUACUAAUGAACCGUGAGGCUUAACCUG